CUGCCAGUAGUCAUAUGCUUGUCUCAAAGAUUAAGCCAUGCAUGUCUAAGUCCAAGCUGUGUUCACACGGCGAGACCGCGGACGGCUCAUUAAAUCAGUCGUGGUCCAAAUGGGCCAGUGCAAAUCCUACUUGGAUAACUGUGGUAAUUCCAGAGCUAAUACAUGCAACUGAUAUCCCGAAGGCGGUGUUUGGGCUUGCUUGCCUUGCGCUGCGCUGCUCUGACGGAUGCUUUUAUUAGACCAAGCCGCUGAGGACUUGAGGGUUCGCGCUCUCUUGUCUGACUCGUGUGAUGGUGACUCUGGAUAACCAAAUUCUGACAAGCGCACGUACUUCUCUUCUGAGCGAGACGGCGCUGCCACUUUCGAGUGUCUGCCUUAUCAGCUAUCAACCGUUCGUUAUGCGCGACCGAUGGCUUUGACGGGUAACGGGGAAUCAGGGUUCGAUUCCGGAGAGGCAGCCUGAGAGACGGCUACCACGUCCAAGGACGGCAGCAGGCACGCAAAUUACCCAAUCCCAGCAAAUGGGGGAGGUAGUGACGAAAUCUAACGAUGCGGGCGCCCUUUCUGGGGCCCCGCAAUCGGAAUGGGCACUUUCUAAACAAC
This 603-nucleotide ribosomal RNA is filed under the name Eulimnogammarus verrucosus. RNAcentral describes it as "SSU rRNA". It matches the Rfam family "Eukaryotic small subunit ribosomal RNA", at positions 14 to 533 of the family's 1831-position model. The record is from RNAcentral. Lineage: Eukaryota; Metazoa; Arthropoda; Malacostraca; Amphipoda; Eulimnogammaridae.